This 268-nucleotide small nuclear RNA is filed under the name Erinaceus europaeus (western European hedgehog). Its description in RNAcentral is "7SK RNA". It matches the Rfam family "7SK RNA". From Rfam's summary of the family: 7SK was discovered as an abundant small nuclear RNA in the mid-70s but a possible function has only recently been suggested. Lineage: Eukaryota; Metazoa; Chordata; Mammalia; Eulipotyphla; Erinaceidae. The record is from Rfam by way of RNAcentral.
GGAUGUGAGGGCAAUUUGGCUUCAAUAUCUGUCACCCCACUGAUCGGCAGGGUUGAUUUGGCCGAUCUGGCUGGCUAAGUGGGUGUCCCCUUCCUCCCUCACUGCUCCAUGUGCAUCUCUCCUGCAACUGGAGAAGACGACAGCCUUCCCCAAUAGACACAGGCCAAUCUUCCAUCAGGGGUAUAGCUGUGCUGCACUGGUAGAAACUCCAAACAAGCUCUCAAGAAUGAGAACUGUGACCAGCUGAUGGCACACCCAGCUAAGUGCU